GCAGGUGGUCCUUUUUGGUGGGGAACAACAAGAUUUGGGUCUUAUGUAAUGGUCAGUCCUUCUAGUCUAGUCUCAGAGUAUAAGUAGGCCUUGUUUUCUUUAUUUUUCUUUAGCAAAGAAUUUUGUAAAGAACUUGCUUCUUCCUUGGAGAUACCCAGAUCUCAAAAACUGGGAUUAUCAAUACAAAUCUGAGUCUUUUCAGUAUAUUUUGUGUUUCUUUUAGUGCUUACUAGGUAGAUAGAUCUUGGGUCUAUCAUGGUUCCGCCGACGGAUUCUUUGUUGCCAUUUCCGAGUCCAUCUUCUUUCUCCCAAAAACGCUACCUUAAUCACCGCUUCAAAAUUGUUGGGUUCGAGAUUGAGCGACCGCCGGCCUAGACGGCUCUCAACACACUCAGCAAAGGAGAUCGCGAAAGUUGUUCUACUCCACUAUGACACCAGUGCUUCUACUCCUCUUCAAGUAUCGAUUGCGUUCUUCCUGUGUUUCCUUGAAGGUACCCAAGAUUACUAUUUUUGUUGGUGGAAGCUUUGAGGUUGGAAAUUAUGCAACGUGUGAGCGACCAUAUAGUCUGGAUUUUAUGUUCUUUUGGCCGAAUGCCAAAAUAGGUGUGAUGGGUGGUUCUCAGAUAUGUAUUUUAGGUAUUUCAAAAUUAGUCAAUGUACUGAUCUUAAAAUGUAAUAGGCGGCUGAAGUGAUGUCGGAGAUAGGAAAAAGAAAGAAGAAAACCUUAGAUAAAUGUGUUAACCUCAUAUUUCCAUAAAUAGCAAUGUACAUUCGAUUA
Lactuca sativa (garden lettuce) is the source of this 778-nucleotide non-coding RNA. The record is from RefSeq and is a predicted model, not a curated record. NCBI's taxonomy places the organism in Eukaryota, Viridiplantae, Streptophyta, Magnoliopsida, Asterales, Asteraceae.